RNAcentral lists this ribosomal RNA (401 nucleotides) under Escherichia coli. Its description in RNAcentral is "bacterial SSU rRNA". It matches the Rfam family "Bacterial small subunit ribosomal RNA", at positions 1 to 398 of the family's 1533-position model. Lineage: Bacteria; Pseudomonadati; Pseudomonadota; Gammaproteobacteria; Enterobacterales; Enterobacteriaceae. The record is from RNAcentral.
AAAUUGAAGAGUUUGAUCAUGGCUCAGAUUGAACGCUGGCGGCAGGCCUAACACAUGCAAGUCGAACGGUAACAGGAAGCAGCUUGCUGCUUCGCUGACGAGUGGCGGACGGGUGAGUAAUGUCUGGGAAACUGCCUGAUGGAGGGGGAUAACUACUGGAAACGGUAGCUAAUACCGCAUAAUGUCGCAAGACCAAAGAGGGGGACCUUCGGGCCUCUUGCCAUCGGAUGUGCCCAGAUGGGAUUAGCUUGUUGGUGGGGUAACGGCUCACCAAGGCGACGAUCCCUAGCUGGUCUGAGAGGAUGACCAGCCACACUGGAACUGAGACACGGUCCAGACUCCUACGGGAGGCAGCAGUGGGGAAUAUUGCACAAUGGGCGCAAGCCUGAUGCAGCCAUGCC